UACGGAGGAUCCAAGCGUUAUCCGGAUUUAUUGGGUUUAAAGGGUGCGUAGGCGGAUUGAUAAGUUAGAGGUGAAAUGUCCGAGCUCAACUCGGGAACUGCCUCUAAUACUGUAUGACUAGAGAAUAGAUGCGGUAGGCGGAAUGUAUGGUGUAGCGGUGAAAUGCGUAGAGAUCAUACAGAACACCGAUUGCGAAGGCAGCUUACCAAACUAUAUCUGACGUUGAGGCACGAAAGCGUGGGGAGCAAACAGG
This 253-nucleotide ribosomal RNA is filed under the name uncultured Rikenellaceae bacterium. Its description in RNAcentral is "partial 16S ribosomal RNA". It matches the Rfam family "Bacterial small subunit ribosomal RNA", at positions 524 to 776 of the family's 1533-position model. Lineage: Bacteria; Pseudomonadati; Bacteroidota; Bacteroidia; Bacteroidales; Rikenellaceae. The record is from RNAcentral.